GAAAAACAGGAUAGGAGGAGUGGAGAGUUGCAUAUGAUGUGGGGUAGAACUCAAUUUAGGCAAGCCAGUCAUGAUGGAUACCAAAGUAGUGGCGAAUCAAGUAGUAAUAGUUGGAAAAAGAAGGGAAAUGGUAGACCUAGGUCAAAGUCUAGAACUAAGGCUAGAAAAUGCUAUGGCUGUGGAGGCACAGGGCAUUUUAUAAAAGACUGUCAUAAAGAAAAGGGAAAACAAAAGGUUAAGGAAAGAGAUGAGGUAAAUGUGUUAUCCUCUACCUCCGAUACCGAAAACGGUGAAGUCUAUGUGAUUACUAGUCCAAUCGCAUACAUUACUGAAUUAAAUCUAACUACUAAUUCUCACAUGCAUGAAUGGAUAUUAGAUUCUGG
RNAcentral lists this long non-coding RNA (383 nucleotides) under Olea europaea (common olive). RNAcentral's name for it is "long non-coding RNA (OEUR_LNC006390)". The record is from RNAcentral. Lineage: Eukaryota; Viridiplantae; Streptophyta; Magnoliopsida; Lamiales; Oleaceae.